Molecule: long non-coding RNA, 651 nt
Organism: Anguilla anguilla (European eel)
Lineage: Eukaryota; Metazoa; Chordata; Actinopteri; Anguilliformes; Anguillidae
Exons: 3
Source: RefSeq, a predicted model, not a curated record
CAGGAAGUAAUUAUUUCUCAGUCAUUUUGCUUCCAACAUGGAACCAGAGAAGGAGGGAAAGGAGAAGAGAGGGGCUUUAGUAACUUUACCUAAACACUCGUACUGGUUUGACUUUUGGGUUUUUAUCGUCUUUGACAUCGCCUUUUUCGUCGUGAUGUAUUUUAUAGUGCCCUAAGCAUUGUUCCUGUUUCAUACUGCCGUUCUAAACUUACACAAAUCUGAGCUAGAUGACUGCAUGCGAGAGGAGGAGUCUGUCCUACGACGAUCCAUUGGGGGAACGCCUGGUUUGAAAAGUGAAGUUAUGUUUGGAGCAGUUUGACAAAGUUACGACGUCCUCCCUGGAGUGCUUUAACCGAUCAUUCCCAGCUGACAACUGUGUACUGUUAUUUUCAGUUAACGUUCUGCGUCUGAUUUGUUAAAUACCAUGUGUGCCUACAAUGCUAAAUUACAUCGUGUAAUUACAUUUGGUGUUUUGGGACGGAGAGUGGUCGCAAAUGUAAAACUCUUAAUUCACAUUUAAGCGAACAUGUAUAGUGUAUGACCCAAUAACUGUGUGCAUUGUUUUUGCGCGUUUUAAAUGGAUCCGCAGUGUUAAUUUCGUGUUUCAAGCCAUGCGAUGGGGUGAAAUAAACUACUAUUUUUUAAACUUGC